ACUCGGAGAAUUCUCGACACAACACGAGGUCCACACCGCUCGUCUCCCUCGAUUCCUUCUCGCUCCGUCUCUAUGCCGCAGCUCCGCUCGCACGCCGCCGUCUAGCAUUCUCUCCCCUCCGCCGUCUAGCUCGCCCUCGCUGCUCCCCUCCUCCAUCUAGCUCCCCCGCGCUGCUCCCCUCCACCGUCUAGCUCCCCGCGCUGCUGCCGACUACGAAGACACCGCUGGCCAAGGAGGAGCUCCAGGUCGCCAUCCUCAUUCUUCACCGACGACGCGGAAGCACCGGAGAGGAGAUGGCGGGCCAGGGGAACGGGCACUUCUCCACAUCGCCUUCGGCGACCUCGUUCACGACGAGCUCGCAUCCAUAGGGCCGCAGGUGAGGAUGUACGUUCCUGUCUGCAGUAGCUCAUUCCCGAAGAUGAGUAACUGAAUGAUUUAGGUGAGGAUCUCCGUUCAUGCCUGCAGUAACAAAUGGGUAACAGAAUGAUUUGGGUGAGUUGGACAUGUCAUGCCCUAUGUUGGGAUGUUGCAUAUCUCUAUCGUGGAACAACAAUUGCUGUUUGCCCGUGAAUGAAAAUGAUUUAGCAAGUUC
This is a long non-coding RNA of Lolium perenne, 592 nucleotides long. RefSeq lists it as uncharacterized. NCBI's taxonomy places the organism in Eukaryota, Viridiplantae, Streptophyta, Magnoliopsida, Poales, Poaceae. The record is from RefSeq and is a predicted model, not a curated record.